GGGGGUAGGGUUUUAAGGUACGUAAGCGCCAUGGAUGGCGAAUCGUGCAUGCUGCUACUAAGAACCAGCAGUAUCUUUUGAAGAUUUUCUACCUCC
Molecule: non-coding RNA, 96 nt
Organism: Glossina morsitans morsitans
Lineage: Eukaryota; Metazoa; Arthropoda; Insecta; Diptera; Glossinidae
Source: Rfam